GGCGGCGUGCUUAACACAUGCAAGUCGAACGCUGAAGCACCAGCUUGCUGGUGUGGAUGAGUGGCGAACGGGUGAGUAAUACGUGAGUAACCUGCCCUUGACUCUGGGAUAAGCCCGGGAAACUGGGUUAAUACUGGAUGCUACAUGUCACCGCAUGGUGGUGUGUGGAAAGGGUUUACUGGUCUUGGAUGGGCUCACGGCCUAUCAGCUUGUUGGUGAGGUAAUGGCUCACCAAGGCGACGACGGGUAGCCGGCCUGAGAGGGUGACCGGCCACACUGGGACUGAGACACGGCCCAGACUCCUACGGGAGGCAGCAGUGGGGAAUAUUGCACAAUGGGCGAAAGCCGUGAUGCAGCGACGCCGCGUGAGGGAUGACGGCCUUCGGGUUGUAAACCUCUUUCAGC
RNAcentral lists this ribosomal RNA (405 nucleotides) under Kocuria palustris. RNAcentral describes it as "bacterial SSU rRNA". It matches the Rfam family "Bacterial small subunit ribosomal RNA", at positions 38 to 440 of the family's 1533-position model. Lineage: Bacteria; Bacillati; Actinomycetota; Actinomycetes; Micrococcales; Micrococcaceae. The record is from RNAcentral.